GCAUAUCAAUAAGCGGAGGAAAAGAAACCAACAGGGAUUGCCUCAGUUAACGGCGAGUGAAAGCGGCAAGAGCUUCAAAUUUGAAAAUCUGGCUUCCUUCGGGGCCCGAGUUGUAAUUUGGAGAGGAUGCUUCGGGCGUGGCCCCCAUCUAAGUGCCCUGGAACGGGCCGUCAUAGAGGGUGAGAAUCCCGUCUGGGAUGGGUGGUCCCGCCCGUGUGAAGCUCCUUCGAAGAGUCGAGUUGUUUGGGAAUGCAGCUCUAAGAGGGUGGUAAAUUUCAUCUAAAGCUAAAUAUUGGCCGGAGACCGAUAGCGCACAAGUAGAGUGAUCGAAAGAUGAAAAGCACUUUGAAAAGAGAGUUAAACAGCACGUGAAAUUGUUGAAAGGGAAGCGUUGGCAACCAGACUCGCCCGGGGGGGCUCAGCCGGCACGUGUGCCGGUGCACUCCCCCCCCCGGGCGGGCCAGCGUCGGUUUGGGCGGUCGGUCAAAGGCCCCGGGAAUGUAGCACCCUCCGGGGUGCCUUAUAGCCCGAGGCGCCAUGCGACCUGCCCGGACCGAGGAACGCGCUCCGGCUCGGACGCUGGCGUAAUGGUUGUCAACGGCCCGUCUUGAAACACGGACCAAGGAGUCUAACAUCUAUGCGAGUGUUCGGGUGUCAAACCCGUCCGCGCAGUGAAAGCGAACGGAGGUGGGAACCCUCUCGGGGGUGCACCAUCGACCGAUCCUGAUGUCUUCGGAUGGAUUUGAGUAAGAGCAUAGCUGUUGGGACCCGAAAGAUGGUGAACUAUGCCUGAAUAGGGCGAAGCCAGAGGAAACUCUGGUGGAGGCUCGCAGCGGUUCUGACGUGCAAAUCGAUCGUCAAAUUUGGGUAUAGGGGGCGAAAGACUAAUCGAACCAUCUGGUAGCUGGUCUGCGA
Molecule: ribosomal RNA, 915 nt
Filed under: Talaromyces islandicus
Lineage: Eukaryota; Fungi; Ascomycota; Eurotiomycetes; Eurotiales; Trichocomaceae
Description: LSU rRNA
Rfam family: Eukaryotic large subunit ribosomal RNA
Source: RNAcentral